RNAcentral lists this ribosomal RNA (253 nucleotides) under uncultured bacterium. RNAcentral describes it as "partial 16S ribosomal RNA". It matches the Rfam family "Bacterial small subunit ribosomal RNA", at positions 524 to 776 of the family's 1533-position model. The record is from RNAcentral.
UACGGGGGGGGCAAGCGUUGUUCGGAAUUACUGGGCGUAAAGGGUGCGCAGGCCGCGCGGGCAGUCAAAUGUGUAAUUCAGGGGCUCAACCCCUGCACUGCGCUUGAUACUUCCGCGCUCGAGCUUUGGAGAGGAGUCUGGAAUUCUCGGUGUAGCAGUGAAAUGCGUGGAUAUCGAGAAGAACACUUAGGGCGUAGGCAAGACUCUGGACAAAUGCUGACGCUCAUGCACGAAGGCUAGGGUAGCGAACGGG